RNAcentral lists this ribosomal RNA (391 nucleotides) under uncultured bacterium. Its description in RNAcentral is "bacterial SSU rRNA". It matches the Rfam family "Bacterial small subunit ribosomal RNA", at positions 28 to 416 of the family's 1533-position model. The record is from RNAcentral.
GACGAACGCUGGCGGCGUGCUUAACACAUGCAAGUCGAGCGGUAAGGCCCUUUCGGGGGUACACGAGCGGCGAACGGGUGAGUAACACGUGGGUGACCCUGCCCUCAGCUCUGGGAUAAGCCCUGGGAAAACCGGGUCUAAUACCGGAUAUGACUCCAUGACGCAUGUUGUGGGGUGGAAAGCCUUGUGCGGCUGAGGAUGGGCCCGCGGCCUAUCAGCUUGUUGGUGGGGUGAUGGCCUACCAAGGCGACGACGGGUAGCCGGCCUGAGAGGGCGACCGGCCACACUGGGACUGAGACACGGCCCAGACUCCUACGGGAGGCAGCAGUGGGGAAUCUUGCGCAAGUGGGCGAAAGCCUGACGCAGCGACGCCGCGUGAGGGAUGACGGCC